Molecule: microRNA precursor, 63 nt
Filed under: Octopus vulgaris (common octopus)
Lineage: Eukaryota; Metazoa; Mollusca; Cephalopoda; Octopoda; Octopodidae
Also listed under: 1 other name
Description: Ovu-Mir-750_pre stem-loop
Source: RNAcentral
CGUUGGAAGGUUAGGUUUUCGCACAUAGUUUAGCCUGUUGCCAGAUCUAACUCUUCCAGCUCA